CCCUUAGAUGUUCUGGGCCGCACGCGUGCUACACUGAGUGGAUCAGCGGGUCAGGUUGCGCGAAAGCGUUUCCUAAUCUUUAAAUCCGCUCGUGAUGGGGAUUGACGGUUGCAAUUUUCUGUCAUGAACGAGGAAUACCUUGUAAGCGCGGGUCCUCAUCCCGCGCUGAAUACGUCCCUGCCCUUUGUACACACCGCCCGUCGCUCCUACCGAUUGAGUGGUCCGGUGAGGCUUUGGGAUCUGAGCGGAAAGAGCGUUUCGCUGUUUCUGCUCGGAAAACUCAGUCGAACCUUAUCAUUUAGAGGAAGGAGAAGUCGUAACA
This 322-nucleotide ribosomal RNA is filed under the name uncultured eukaryote. Its description in RNAcentral is "partial 18S ribosomal RNA". It matches the Rfam family "Eukaryotic small subunit ribosomal RNA", at positions 1470 to 1796 of the family's 1831-position model. The record is from RNAcentral.